RNAcentral lists this long non-coding RNA (1106 nucleotides) under Rattus norvegicus (Norway rat). RNAcentral describes it as "long non-coding RNA NONRATT009311". Lineage: Eukaryota; Metazoa; Chordata; Mammalia; Rodentia; Muridae. The record is from RNAcentral.
CUGUUGCAGUGAACGAAAAGCACAAGAAGAAACUUUUAUAGGCAUUGUUGAUUUGACUAGGGCACCGAUAUCCCGAACUCACCGGAAAGCAGGGUUCUGAUUGUCCUAAGAAGAAGGCCUUAAGGUUCGUGGGUUUUGGAGAAUCCGUUCUGCAGACACAGAAAGUGAAAAGGUAAAGGCAGCCAUAGAGCUACAUUGCUUUGAUCUUAUCCCAGGACAGCGUGUGAAAGGACCUGGAACGACCUGCCAUCCUUAUCUGCGGAAAGCAUUAUUUAAAACGUGUUGCUGCUGUGUUAACUCAGACCAUUUGCUGUUCAGGAGUUACUGUCUGUGUUAGGUUAAUUAACGGUUACAUGGUGAAUAAUAGGAGAAGAGCUAUCCAUGUCUCAGGAAGAUACUAUCAAGAGAAGUAAAAUGGAUACUAGAUAUGGAUGAUGACUUUCAUCAGUAGUGGAGAGAAGACUGUGUUGAGAAGUCGUUUCAGUUGCGUAUGAAACGGCAGGUCUAAGCCAUGUAGCUCUGAAAGAGAACAGACGCUGCAUUGGCAGAGGGGACAGGAAUGACUGGGAGGCUUGAAGAACAGGAUAUAAAUGUGGCUGCUGGAGUGUGCAUGUCCUAGGAGGUGCAGAGCAUACGUGAAGAUCGGCUUGCAAAAGAAAAUGAGUAGAACAGAUGGCUGAGGAAAGUCAGGGGCUCUCACUGAACGUAUUAUAUUUUGCAGUGAAAACCUGUAGAGUAUGGUGACUGGAGAGAAGGCUCACUGCGCAGAGUGCUUGCUAUACAAACAUGAGGCCCAACCCGAGUUCAGAUCCCUGGCUCCCACAUGAAAAAAGCUGUUGUGGCAUUGUGUACCUGUAACCCCAGCACUAAGGCACGGAGACAGGUGGAUCCCCAAAACUCCCUGGUUUACACACAGGCAUGUAUGUGCAGGUACAUGUGCAUACACAUAAUGUACAUGCACUAUAUGCACAUAGGCAUCUACACAAGCUAUAGAUAAGUCAGAAAGGCACUGUGAUACAAAGUGUGGUGGCACAGGUCUUUUUGGGAGGCAGAGAUAGAGGAUCCAAAAUUUGAGGACAGCCUGGGCCAUGUGAUAACUUGUCACU